CCUACGGGAGGCUGCAGUGGGGAAUAUUGGACAUUGGGGGCAACCCUGAUCCAGCCAUGCCGCGUGUGUGAAGAAGGCCCUCGGGUUGUAAAGCACUUUCAGUGAGGAAGAACGCCUGGUGGUUAAUACCCAUCGGGAAAGACAUCACUCACAGAAGAAGCACCGGCUAACUCCGUGCCAGCAGCCGCGGUAUACGGAGGGUGCGAGCGUUAAUCGGAAUUACUGGGCGUAAAGCGCGCGUAGGUGGCUUGAUAAGCCGGUUGUGAAAGCCCCGGGCUCAACCUGGGAACGGCAUCCGGAACUGUCAAGCUAGAGUGCAGGAGAGGAAGGUAGAAUUCCCGGUGUAGCGGUGAAAUGCGUAGAGAUCGGGAGGAAUACCAGUGGCGAAGGCGGCCUUCUGGACUGACACUGACACUGAGGUGCGAAAGCGUGGGUAGCAAACAGGAUUAGAUACCCGUGUAGUC
This 464-nucleotide ribosomal RNA is filed under the name Vreelandella stevensii. RNAcentral's name for it is "partial 16S ribosomal RNA". It matches the Rfam family "Bacterial small subunit ribosomal RNA", at positions 338 to 795 of the family's 1533-position model. The record is from RNAcentral. Lineage: Bacteria; Pseudomonadati; Pseudomonadota; Gammaproteobacteria; Oceanospirillales; Halomonadaceae.